UAGUAUUAACAAAAUUUGUGCCAGCAGUUGCGGUUAUUCAGAUAAUACAAUUAAAAUUUAUUAGUUAAUAAUAAAUUAUUUUUAAUUAAUUUAGUAAUAAAUUUAUUAAGUGAAAUUUUAAAUUUAUUUAAAUUAAAAAUAAAUUUUUGAUUUAUGAAAUUUUUAUUUAAACUAGGAUUAGAUACCCUAUUAU
This 193-nucleotide ribosomal RNA is filed under the name Staphylinidae sp. BMNH 1274705. RNAcentral's name for it is "12S ribosomal RNA". The record is from RNAcentral. Lineage: Eukaryota; Metazoa; Arthropoda; Insecta; Coleoptera; Staphylinidae.